UUGGAUUAGUGGGUUAAAGCAGGAGGAGUCAGAAAUAGCGGCCUCAUUUGGCGUCUCCAACCUACAGAAUCAGCUGCAUCGAAACCUUUGUUGCACCGUGGAUUACUUACCUUUUUAUUUUAUUUUUUACAUUUUUUUAUAGGCUGAAAAUCCCAAAUCAGAACCCUUGUAAAAUUAGUUAAGCUUAGAUUACAUCGGAUUAGAGUUUUUUUUUGUUUUUUUUUUAAAGUGAGCAAAGACAAGAUAGGGCAGCUUGGAGCAUCAUGCUGGUCACAAUAACUGUAAAACGGGUUGCCUGAUCUAAUCUGAACUGUUGACCAGCUUCUCCAACUAGAUUCUCUCUAGUUCUUUGGCCUGGACUGGGUGUGAAAUGCUAAUUUUCAUGGUAAUCCAGCGUAGGUUCAUUUGCCGUGUGAAGAUCCAUGUGUUGGACUGUCUGAGAAUUUAAACUAAUGGAUGGUGCAUUCUCCAGGAUUUCACAGGUUUAAUAAUGGAGGUGGGCAUCAGUCUGAUUAUAGUUCAACUCUGAUGAAACUGCAGAUUUCCAGUAAGCUCCAAUGGAGGCUGCAGGACCAAGGAGCUGAUCGUGGACUUCAGGAAGCAGGAGAGAGCACACUCGUCCAUCUCCAUCAACGGGACUGCGGUGGAGAGGGUCAGCAGCUUCAAGUUUCUGGGUGUUCACAUCAGCGAGGAUCUGACGUGGACAGAACACACCACACGGGUGGUGAAGAAGGCACAACAUAGCCUGUAGUUCCUAAUGCGGCUGAGGAGGUUUGGUCUGAACCCGAGCAUCCUCAGGACUUUCUACACCUGCACUGUGGAAAGCAUUCUGACGGGCAGCAUCACCACCUGUUACGGGAACUGUACUGCUCUGGAGAGGAAAUCCCUGCAGAGGGUAGUGCAUGCAGCGCAGUUCAUCACUGGGGGUCAGCUCCCAAACCUUUUGGAUUUAUACACCAACCGCUGCCUGAGGAAAUGCAAAAGGAUCAUGAAGGACACGUCCCAUCCAAACCCUCCCUGUUCUCACAGCUGCCGAGUGGAAGGAGGCUCAGAAGCUUGAAGGCCAGAACCAGCCGGUUUCAAGACAGCUUCUUCCCCCAGGCGGCCAGGCUGUGGAACAGCCAGUAGAACUGUGUACCCAUACAAACUCUGCUCCCUGCA
Long non-coding RNA from Astyanax mexicanus (Mexican tetra), 1161 nucleotides. RefSeq lists it as uncharacterized. The transcript is spliced from 3 exons. NCBI's taxonomy places the organism in Eukaryota, Metazoa, Chordata, Actinopteri, Characiformes, Acestrorhamphidae. The record is from RefSeq and is a predicted model, not a curated record.